Molecule: ribosomal RNA, 274 nt
Filed under: uncultured bacterium
Lineage: Bacteria
Description: partial 16S ribosomal RNA
Rfam family: Bacterial small subunit ribosomal RNA
Source: RNAcentral
AUACGGAGGGCGCAAGCGUUGCCCGGAAUCACUGGGUGUAAAGGGUGCGUAGGCGGGGCUGUAAGUCAGAGGUGAAAGCCCUCGGCUCAACCGGGGAAUUGCCUCUGAUACUGCAGCUCUUGAGUCCCGGAGAGGCCGCUGGAAUUCCUGGUGUAGCGGUGAAAUGCGUAGAUAUCAGGAGGAACACCGGAGGCGAAGGCGGGCGGCUGGACGGGGACUGACGCUGAGGCACGAAAGCGUGGGGAGCAAACAGUAUUAGAAACCCUAGUAGUCC